GUGAUGCAAAGGGAACCCAGAGCACUGUGUUACAGAGGCCAGAAGCUUUCAUAGGGACUAACAUCAGAGACUGAAAGAUCCUAGGUAUUCAAAGAGACAACAGGGACACUGAUGGAAAGUGAUGGACCCAAUGUCAAAAGAAGAAAAGCUGUCUGCAGGAGGACACCCAGAAAAUUAAUAGGUGGAUUGCAAAAAACCCUUUUCCCAAAGGGAAAAGUCAAUAAAGCCUCCAGUGAUGGCCACUGGCACAGGACAUAUUUCCAAAAUGGACCUUUUGCUUGCUCUAGAAUGGCCAUUUCUACUGUUCCAUGCAAAAAACCACACCAAACCAAAACAACCCUACAAAGAAGCCUCAAUCAAACAGUCAUCCAAGAUACUAAAUAAUAAGAAGCUAUUCUAAUACCAAGAAAUUACUCUCAGAUCAAAAUACUGAAAAUCAAUAAAGAGGAAAAAAUAAGUUCUGUGAAAGUAACU
This 474-nucleotide long non-coding RNA is filed under the name Cyanistes caeruleus (blue tit). RNAcentral's name for it is "lncRNA (ENSCCEG00000018412.1)". Lineage: Eukaryota; Metazoa; Chordata; Aves; Passeriformes; Paridae. The record is from RNAcentral.